GACGAACGCUGGCGGCGUGCUUAAAACAUGCAAGUCGAACGGACUAUUUCAUUUCGGUGGUAAUUUCAAAUCUAGUGGCGAACGGGUGAGUAACGCGUGGACAACCUACCUCUUAGAUGGGGACAACCUCGCGAAAGCGGUGCUAAUACCGAAUGAAGUGACUUUCCUGCAUGGGAGAGAUACUAAAGGUGGCCUACGUUUAUAAGCUACCACUGAGAGUCGGGUCUGGGUCUGAUUAGCUAGUUGGCGGGGUAACGGCCCACCAAGGCGACGAUCAGUAGCCGGUCUGGGAAGAUGAACGGCCACAUUGGGAAUGAGAAACGGCCCAAACUCCUACGGGAGGCAGCAGUGGGGAAUCUUCCGCAAUGGACGAAAGUCUGACGGAGCAACGCCGCGUGAGUGAAGAAGGUUUUCGGAUCGUAAAGCUCUGUUGUUUGAGACGAAUGUGCCUGUUUCGAAUAGGGAUAGGUAAUGACGGUAUUAAACGAGAAAGCCACGGCUAACUACGUGCCAGCCGCCGCAGUAA
This 526-nucleotide ribosomal RNA is filed under the name uncultured bacterium. RNAcentral's name for it is "partial 16S ribosomal RNA". It matches the Rfam family "Bacterial small subunit ribosomal RNA", at positions 28 to 523 of the family's 1533-position model. The record is from RNAcentral.